This is a long non-coding RNA of Folsomia candida, 1436 nucleotides long. RefSeq lists it as uncharacterized. The record is from RefSeq and is a predicted model, not a curated record. NCBI's taxonomy places the organism in Eukaryota, Metazoa, Arthropoda, Collembola, Entomobryomorpha, Isotomidae. The transcript has 7 exons.
GGGUCAAAUGUCAAGUCUAGUGGGUGUGCCCAGGUCACAGGUCAAAUAUCAAGGCUAGUGGGUGUGCCCAGGUCACAGGUCAAAUGUAGUGGGUGUGCUCAGGUCACAAGUCAAAUGUUAAGUCUGGGGGUGAGGCCGUUCAUGUGAUCAAGUCUCGGCAGACCUAAAGGGUGUGUUUCGUUGUUCUCGUGUUCGUCAACGUUUUUGGAACGUUUUGAUACUUUAGCGAAAAACGCCCUCUAGAAACGAAAAAUGCAACAUUGUGCCCAAACGGCCGAUAGGUGACGUUACCUUGGACAAUGUGAGACACGUGUGUAGUCAAGCGCCAAGUUCCACAUACCACACACACACACACACACACACCACUGCACAAUUCUUGGUUCUGAUAGUCAGCAUUCAACUUCGACCAAAAUUUGAUUCCCGCGUUCGUAUCCCUACCAUACUAACAGUGUGGGAAGGAUACGAGCACGUGAUGGCCGAGGUUGCAUGCCGACCUAAUAUUUAUUAAAAUGAAUUUAUGUAUGGAAUUUUUGCAUGUGACGAGCUAUUUAUGAAUACUCGGGAUAAAAGGGGCACAUUUUAGCCUUCAGGGUCUACAACAACGUGAGCUUACACGAAGAUAAGUAAAUAUGUAGCAUCGGACCCUUCACAGACCUUUCUUGAUUGACAGCUGCUACUCUCUUAAUCCCCGGUUCGGUCAGUAAGGAGGAUACGCAAAGUAGCUGAAUAUUCCGUACAUACUCAGAAAAUUUAAACAUCCCGUCCACCAUGAAGAUUGCACCCGUUUUCGUUCUCGCACUGAUCGGAAUGGCCGCGGCCGCGCAAGGUGCCAAAUACCCGAAAAAACAGAGGGCAAUUUAGAUUUUCAAGGCGAAAAAGCACAGAUUACAGUGCCUUCGUCCCUCUUUAUCAGUUAAACGUUCGACCAGGAAGGAUACUCAAAGUGAGCUGCGUAUUUUUUUAUACAGAAAAUUAAACAUCCCGUCCACCAUGAAGAUGAUUUUCCUUCUUGUCCUGAUUGGAAUGACUGCGCAGGGUGCAAAAUUAACAGAAGAAACGGAGGCCAAGUUAGACGCUCAGGGUCAAAAAGCAGAUUUCUGCCCAACGAUGGAAGAAGCUUGCAGAGAUAGCAACGGUGGCGUGGACUUUUGUGUGGAUACUCCGGCGGCAAUCGUGGCGGAGUGUAUUUAUCCGCGCCGUUCUAAUUUUGACGACGCAUGCGUAACAUUCUCUGGCUGCAAUAUCACCGUUGGUUGGAGUACCCAUGUGUGCAUUUGUUAAAUAACAAAUGCAACACGGCUAGGAAUAUUCUUAGCCGUGUUGCUAUUACAUACGUUGAACUACAUAUAAAAAAUAAUAUUGUACUUUGAUAAAAACCAAAUUGUAUGUAAAUUGAUGUAAUAAAAUGGAAAAUUGGGUUUCUUUGUUUAUUGAGA